Molecule: long non-coding RNA, 2501 nt
Organism: Anas platyrhynchos (mallard)
Lineage: Eukaryota; Metazoa; Chordata; Aves; Anseriformes; Anatidae
Source: RefSeq, a predicted model, not a curated record
AGCUCCAUUCAUGUGAUGCCUAGGCAGCCCAGCAAUGCCCAUGAGUUUCAUGCCUGAGCAUCUUUCUGAGCACUCCACACCUCUGCAUGCUGCCCUGCAGCAGAAAGCUUCUUUCAGUCUGAGAGCUCCUGCUGUAGACUGAGAUGUUUUGUUUUGGACUUCUCAUGUCAGUACUCUCCAGUAUCUAGUUCAGUAAUUUGUACCUUUGCUCAUAGGAGAUGGUUUGCAGACGAUCAUGUUGUUCUCCUGCGUGUCUGAUCUUGUGCUUGCACAGUGCUUGGGAAUGCUUUGUUUAGGCAUAUUGUAUAUCUGCCUGGGUAUCAUAUCAGUUUUCACACGCUGGUGCUUUCAGUUCAGGUGCAGAUUCAGAAACACUUAUUUCCUACCUGGCUUUUACUGUGCCUGCAUGUGGGCUUAUGAGCCACCCUUUAUAUUGGCCACCAUCCAAGGCAGUCACUUCUGGCUCAGCAAAUACUGUCCUUCAUUACAUUUCCGACCUGCGGGCUCGAUUGUUUCCGUCAUGUUAGACAUAAGCCCUUUGACCACGUUCUGUCUCAGAGCAGCUGUACCAGUUGCACAACCAGCUCCCUGCUCCCUGUGUGGCAGCAGCAUUGCUGCUUCAGCUGGGAGCUUGGGGCUGCAGCUUGGUACCCACCGAUGCUGUUCUGCCCUGUUGGCAAAUGCCAAUACCCACAAUUUCAAACCUGCAAACCAGACCUGCAGACUGGUUGUUUUGAAUAAUUUACCCUGCUAACAAUUCAGUCUCUGAUGUGGUUGUUCCAAGCAGGUGUAAAUCUGUGUCCCCUCCAGCACACUCUUGUGACUGAGGUUUAGGGUCAAUUUCUUCCUCCCAUCACUUAAGCAUAUUUUUGAGCCCUCAACAGUAUCAUCUGCUCCAGCAGGUGCCUGUUCUCAGAAAUGCAUCAGGUAGACCGUACUUCAAGUGAGUGAAAGUACGUGAUGUUUUCCACUCUCAGAGGAGAAGAGGCAAUGCAUUUCCGUGGGUUUCAUCAUUCCCUGAGAACACCCAAGACCCCUCCACUGUCAGUGAAGGGACAGACAUGCUACUGUUUGGUGGAUGAGAAUAGCCUCUGCAGCAUUUGAAAAACACAUUUCUCUCGUCACUGACUAUAAAGUUUCCUUUAUAGGCAAUAUAUGGCGUUAUAUUAGGUGGACUGGAUCACUCUCACCCUCCUUUAUUCCUUUUUUCUGUUUGUCCCUUCCCUCCCUCUCUUUACUUCCUCCCUAGGCCAAGUGCCAAAAAUGCUUAGCGAGGCAGGAUCUCAGCUAUCAGCUUAAAUUGUCAAACUGGCUUCCACCUCUUUCAUUUCAGAGAGCACUGUAAUUGAAACUCCUCUUAUUUUAGGUGGUGGUAGUAUUUUAAACUCAGAACUAUGUAAAGAACUGGAGAUAAUGCUAAACUGCUUAGCUGAGAAGGGGUGGCUACAGACCCAGUGAGGAAAUGUUUGCAUAAAUCUUAUGUAGGCAGAUUCUCACCUAGAAAAAGCCUGCGUUUCUGCCAAAAUAUUCAGAAUCUUUCUGGCAUCCACCGCAAGACAAUUGUCAGUCUUGAUUGGUCCGGCAGGGAAAGGCUUUUGCUUUCAUUUUUGUGUGUUUGGUGCCAGCAUAUUUCCCUGACAAGUGAUGUGAGAGGUGACUGGAAGAGUUCAUUGACUGUGGAGAUACCGAUGCAGGAAACCUUCCUUCUUCCACAGAGCAGAAAUUUGCCUACGUGCUCCUUCAGAAAUUGGCUGCCACUGCAUAGCCUCACCUAACCAGCUGUGGAUGAGCGACAAGGACAAGAAAUGUUGGAUUAACUCAGGGGUCUGUGGUUGUCCUUUGUUCCAAAGCUGGUUUAUGAAGAAUUAGAGAGAAACUAGACCAUGCAGGAAAAAGAGCAGAGAAUCCUCAGGGAAUCACCAGAGUUUCCUCAUCUAGCUGUACAGAAGGAGCGUGGGCUGGGAAGCUAGGAAGAUGUGGCUUUCCAUGCAUGGUGCCACUUGAAGUGUCAGUGCCAGAGAUUCUCUCAUCUCCAGAAAGCAGACAGAUGCAGUGUUUCAGAUUGUCUGAUGAAUGAUACAAGAUUUCUCCCAUUACAGAAAUCUCCUAUACUCCUGCUCCCACGAGGAAAUCCAGACUCUGGUCCACACUGUUGCAAGGAACAACUGCGCUGACUUUUAGAACUCUUUGGAUCAUACCUUUACUAAGCCAGGCACUGACUGAUUUUGAAUUUGGCUGGAAUAUAUUUUGAUAUUUAGUUGUCUGAGACUAGCAUAAAAUUGUGCUUCCUGGGUUUCCUGUAAAACACACAUUCAACAGGCUAGUAAAGUAUACUUUAACCUGAUGCAAAACUGUCUUCAUUGCCCAGUAUUUCUUUCAGCUGUACUACAUCACUUGCAAUAUUAGUGUGAUCUGACAUAAUAUGUGAUGGUAUUUUAACUGUCUUGUUUUCUAUGUCUUGCUAUGGACAAAUUUAAUAAAUAAUUGUAUGUUAGAUUUUA